Molecule: long non-coding RNA, 2077 nt
Organism: Malaclemys terrapin pileata
Lineage: Eukaryota; Metazoa; Chordata; Testudines; Emydidae
Exons: 4
Source: RefSeq, a predicted model, not a curated record
CUAGAGGAAAACACUAGGUCUAACAUUGUCGUGGUUAGCUAUUUUUUGCCAUCUUUCCACAAGACCCUGAUGUACAGACACACAAGCAGAGAGUGACAGAGGAUAUUGAAUGUACUGGCUUUACCUGGGAAGAAAUACUACAAGUAGUGAGGAACUAGAUUGCCCAACGUGUCAGUGGCAGGAACUAAGUAUAAGACAAAGGAAAUGCAGAUCUAAUCUAUCUGGAUUCCAAUAAGGCAUUUGAUACAGUUCCGCAUGGAAAUUAUUAGUUAAAUCGGAGAAGAUGGGAAUCAAUAUGAGAAUUGAAAGGUGGACAAGGAACUGGUUAAAGGGGAUACUACAACAAAGCUUUAAGAAUGGAGACUGUCCGGAGGUGCCUGUUCCUACUUCCACUGAAGUCAUUGGGAGUGAGCAUCAGAUGUUUAGCACUCAAACCACUUAUCUAGGUGCCUAAAUAUGGAUGCAGGUGCCUAAUUUUAGGUAUGCCAGUUUGAAAACACUGGCCAUAUAGCCCAUAAAUCUCACCUACAAAUAAGUAUCUCCAUUCUUUACAGACAACCAUUUUGUCUUUUUUUUAACCUCAUUUUUACGAAGCCCAAUCCUAGGAGGAGCUGAGUGCCUCAAUUUCCAUUGAAGCCAAUGGCAAAACUCCCAUUGACUUCAGGGGGAGAAACAUCAGGAUUCUGUUGUCUUUCUAUUUUUGUUUCUUUUCUCCUGCACUCCUCUCUUCUAAGGCCGCCCCGGGGGCAGGGAGGAGGCAAGUGGGGCAAUUUGCCCCAGACCCCGGCGGGGCCCCCACAAGAAUAUAGUAUUCUAUUGUAUUGCAACCUUUUUUAUGGAAGGGGCCCCCGAAAUUGCUUUGCCCAAGGCCCCCUGAAUCCUCUGGGUGGCCCUGCUCUCUUCACUCUCUCUCUUGCUUGAUCCUUCCUUCCUUCCUUCUUUCUCCCCGUUAGGAACCCACUUAAGGAAGCCUAUAAACUGGAAUAAUGAACCCAAGGAGUCAGUACUAUGGUAUGUAAUCACUUUGCUUUUUAUACUAAUAAAACUUAGAUUUUGUUCAUGAACAUAAAAUGUUAUUACAAUAUGCUAACAGAAUAUUUUUCUUGUAUCUUUGCUCAUUUUCAGUUCCUAAAACAAUAGUCUUGGAGUGGGGGGAGGGGAAUUAAUAUAGUUUUCUGUUUGGAUUUUAUCAUUCUCUUGAAGUGCCAGAAACCCAAAUAUUACAGUACUGUGCUAGGGCUUUAGAAUCAAAAAGUGAAACUGAGUCAUCUAUUUUAAUUUUUAAUACUGAGAUAAGUGAAUUUUAUAACUAGCAAAUUUCAAUACUUGUGGAAAAACAAAUCAGAUAUUUUUUAAUUCGUACAAAAUGUUUAUACCUCCUUAGAUUAAUAAUAUGGGAAGGAAAUUUUAUUUCUUAAAUAUGACUUUUAAAAUGACAAAUACUCUGUAGUUCGUACCUAGCAGCACAAGGGUAGCCAUAGUACAAAUUCGGAGCCAAAUGCAACAGUGUUUAAUACUGAUAUGGAUUCCAGGGAAUCCAUAUGUGUGUCAACAUGAAAUGUCCCAUCUUCUUCCAAAUGGAAAGCCAUUUGGAUCAGAAUGGAGCAUUGCGUGCUGGGGUAUUUUGGUGCCAAUUCUGUAAAUGGUUAAACACCUACGGCUGUAGUGGGACUGCUCACUUGCUUAAAAUGAAGCACACUAGUGUUUGCAGGAUCAGGGAUGCUGUCUCAUGGGCCACUUCUUUAUUAAACAGAGGAUGGCUGUAAUGUGCGUCACUUCAUGAAAAUAAAGGCUCUGAUCCUGUAUGGAGCUGAGAGUCUUCAAAACUCAUUGAAAAGAGUUGAGGGAGCCCUGCACCUCACAGGAUAAGAUGUUAAAUGCAGCCCUAUGUUCCUGACAAAUUGACAAUAUUACCCCCCUCAUCCCUCCCUCAAUUGGGCUAAAUCUGGGCACCACAGAUUUAGGAAAGCCAUAAAAUGCAGAUCUCUAAUAAAAUAUUCUCCAAAGCUACCUUAGGAGUUUUUAGGAUAUAUUGAAUCAAUACGUAGUCACAGAGAGAGAGAGAGAGAGAGAGAGA